CUGUCAGACGGGCAUCUUGAAGGCCUUUAGGGUAAAGGUCCUUUAACUCAAAUGUCAUUUAGGCGGUGUCAGACGCGCAAGUCAAAUGUCAUUCGGGCUAAAUGACAUUUACGUUCAACGGAGUUACAACAACUCCGUUAACUCCCCAACUGCCUACUCUCGUCGACAGCGAUCACGGAUGACGACGAAAAUAAUAAAAAAUAGAUAGUCUCACUUAGGAAUUCAUCAGUUAGAAUAAAUUUUAAAACAAUUUACGAAGCUGUCUGCUUACUUUAAAAAGACUUUAGCGCGACCACAGCAAUCAUGUUCUCUGCUCCUUCCUGUUCGUCGUAACUCGACUCGCCAUUGUGCUCGCCGCUCUCCUUAUCUCUUCGCUUUUGAUCUUGUUUUUGUGUUCUUCCUUCUCCUUCGCUUCUGCUUUCGUUGUAUUACUUAACUUUCAUUUUGCAGUGUUCUUUUGUAUUCCUAAAUAGAAAGUUUUAAUUUUUCCUUUUUCAUAGUUUGUAUUUAGUUUGUAUUUUGUCGAACGAUGACGGAGCCGUCGCAGAAGGGCCCGCGAGUCCAGUGGUCCGUCUCUGAGAUUUGGGCCUUGAUCGGCCUUUGGGAGGAUAGGUUGUGCGACCUCCGGCGCCAAAAAAGGAAUGGGGGGAUUUACGCCGAAAUGUCAGAGGCGAUGAAGUUAAUUGGGCAUAACAAGUCCAAGGAUCAAGUGCACAACAAGAUCGAAAACCUCACGAGCGUCUACCGGAAGCACCUGCGGACGGCCAGCACAACCGGAGCAGGAGGAGUGAACUGGCCGUUCUACUGGGAGAUUCACCGUUUCCUGGGAUCCCUGCCCGCAAACGACAACACUCUCGUGGACGAGAGCUUGUGUGCAGAUGAUGUGACACCAGCUGUGUUGGAGCUGCUUUCAGAAACACAGGCAGAGGAUGUCCCGUCAGACGACAUGAGGGACGACACAUCCGACGAGACGUCCCAGGAGCUGCCUGGUGCGAGUACCAGCGAACUGCCUGGUGCAAGUACCGGCGAGCUGCCUGGUGCGAGCACCAGCAAAUCUAGGAGCGGCCACAAUGCUGGCAGCAGCAACCCUGCUGGCCGUGGAAAGAAGGCCGGUGGUGCCAGUAAUGGCACAACUAUCAUGUUGCCGCAGGUGCCAGAGUCAGGAAAAAGGAAAAGACCCCCGCACCCCUCUGCCACCCUCGCAAAGGCGGUAAUUGAGGAGCAAAAGUUGCUCCGUUUAAGUUUGGAAACGGCUCGGGGCCGUGAGUUCACUCUGCGGGAGCAGGAGCUCAAAAUUCAAGAAAAAGCACUGGCCGUGCAAGAAAAGCUUGCGAAUGCCAUGAUGGCCUUUUUCAAUAAAACAGGCUAGAGCGGAAGCUGUAGCUUCAAAAAAGCAUGCUGCAUAAACUAG
RNA transcript from Ixodes scapularis (black-legged tick), 1411 nucleotides. RefSeq lists it as uncharacterized. The record is from RefSeq and is a predicted model, not a curated record. The transcript has 4 exons. Lineage: Eukaryota; Metazoa; Arthropoda; Arachnida; Ixodida; Ixodidae.